RNAcentral lists this ribosomal RNA (447 nucleotides) under uncultured bacterium. RNAcentral's name for it is "bacterial SSU rRNA". It matches the Rfam family "Bacterial small subunit ribosomal RNA", at positions 328 to 792 of the family's 1533-position model. The record is from RNAcentral.
GUACCAGACUCCUACGGGAGGCAGCAGUGGGGAAUAUUGCACAAUGGGGGAAACCCUGAUGCAGCAACGCCGCGUGAGUGAAGAAGUAUUUCGGUAUGUAAAGCUCUAUCAGCAGGGAAGAAGAUGACGGUACCUGAUUAAGAAGCCCCGGCUAACUACGUGCCAGCAGCCGCGGUAAUACGUAGGGGGCAAGCGUUAUCCGGAUUUACUGGGUGUAAAGGGAGCGUAGACGGUCCUGCAAGCCAGAUGUGAAAGCCCGGGGCUCAACCCCGGGACUGCAUUUGGAACUGUAAGGCUAGAGUGUCGGAGAGGCAGGCGGAAUUCCUAGUGUAGCGGUGAAAUGCGUAGAUAUUAGGAGGAACACCAGUGGCGAAGGCGGCUUACUGGACUGUAACUGACGUUGAGGCUCGAAAGCGUGGGGAGCAAACAGGAUUAGAUACCCCUGUA